UUUCCGUAGGUGAACCUGCGGAAGGAUCAUUACUGAGUGAGGGCCCCUCGGGGUCCAACCUCCCACCCGUGUUUAACGAACCUUGUUGCUUCGGCGGGCCCGCCUCACGGCCGCCGGGGGGCAUCUGCCCCCCGGCCCGCGCCCGCCGAAGCCACCUGUGAACGCUGUCUGAAGUAUGCAGUCUGAGACAAUUAUUAAAUUAAUUAAAACUUUCAACAACGGAUCUCUUGGUUCCG
This 236-nucleotide unclassified non-coding RNA is filed under the name plant metagenome. Its description in RNAcentral is "partial contains small subunit ribosomal RNA, internal transcribed spacer 1, and 5.8S ribosomal RNA". The record is from RNAcentral.